This 446-nucleotide ribosomal RNA is filed under the name uncultured bacterium. RNAcentral's name for it is "bacterial SSU rRNA". It matches the Rfam family "Bacterial small subunit ribosomal RNA", at positions 328 to 793 of the family's 1533-position model. The record is from RNAcentral.
UCAGUCGACUCCUACGGGAGGCAUCAGUGGGGAAUCUUGGACAAUGGGCGCAAGCCUGAUCCAGCCAUGCCGCGUGAGUGAUGAAGGCCCUAGGGUCGUAAAGCUCUUUCGCCAGGGAUGAUAAUGACAGUACCUGGUAAAGAAACCCCGGCUAACUCCGUGCCAGCAGCCGCGGUAUACGGAGGGGUUAGCGUUGUUCGGAAUUACUGGGCGUAAAGCGCGCGUAGGCGGAUUAGUCAGUUAGAGGUGAAAUCCCAGGGCUCAACCCUGGAACUGCCUUUAAUACUGCUAGUCUUGAGUUCGAGAGAGGUGAGUGGAAUUCCGAGUGUAGAGGUGAAAUUCGUAGAUAUUCGGAGGAACACCAGUGGCGAAGGCGGCUCACUGGCUCGAUACUGACGCUGAGGUGCGAAAGUGUGGGGAGCAAACAGGAUUAGAUACCCUGGUAG